UCUCAGAGUUGAGGUUUUCCACUAGGGAAUCCGACGAGAUCGCGAGCUUCGUGAUUGAGGAUUUCUAUGCGGCUUGUGGUAAUUUGUGAUGGACUAGUUGGAGCACCCGUGCAGGGUUAAAUCUUUCGGAAAGCCGUGCCCGCGGUUAUGUGGCUACGUGGAUACUUUGUUUAACACUGGUUCUAGAUAACUUGAAGUUAACUUAAUUAAAAUAUGCCAACUGUGUGCGUAACCGUGACUGUCUCUUUCGUGAGUUCUUUCUCCGAUCGAGGACACGAUGGGGUUAUGACUGACGUAGGUAGGUGUUCAGGGUCAUUCAGUUGAUCAUCCGUAGUUCACGUCCGCUAUGCGUAGAUCUUCCCCCUCUCAUUUCUUGUACUCGUAAGUUUAGCCACCAAACAUAUGC
RNAcentral lists this long non-coding RNA (406 nucleotides) under Hordeum vulgare. Its description in RNAcentral is "long non-coding RNA (HVUL_LNC006909)". Lineage: Eukaryota; Viridiplantae; Streptophyta; Magnoliopsida; Poales; Poaceae. The record is from RNAcentral.